RNAcentral lists this ribosomal RNA (399 nucleotides) under uncultured bacterium. Its description in RNAcentral is "bacterial SSU rRNA". It matches the Rfam family "Bacterial small subunit ribosomal RNA", at positions 357 to 772 of the family's 1533-position model. The record is from RNAcentral.
GGGAAUAUUGGACAAUGGGCGCAAGCCUGAUCCAGCCAUGCCGCGUGGGUGAUGAAGGCCCUAGGGUUGUAAAGCCCUUUCGGCGGGGAAGAUAAUGACGGUACCCGCAGAAGAAGCCCCGGCUAACUUCGUGCCAGCAGCCGCGGUAAUACGAAGGGGGCUAGCGUUGCUCGGAAUCACUGGGCGUAAAGCGCACGUAGGCGGACUCUUAAGUCGGGGGUGAAAUCCUGGAGCUCAACUCCAGAACUGCCUUCGAUACUGAGAGUCUUCGAGUUCGGGAGAGGUGAGUGGAACUGCGAGUGUAGAGGUGAAAUUCGUAGAUAUUCGCAAGAACACCAGUGGCGAAGGCGGCUCACUGGCCCGAUACUGACGCUGAGGAGCGAAAGCUAGGGGAGCAAA